CCUACGGGUGGCUGCAGUGGGGAAUAUUUCUCAAUGGGGGCAACUCUGAUGCAGCGACGCCGCGUGCGUGAAGAAGUAAUUCGUUAUUUAAAGCUCUAUCAGCAGGGAAGAAAACGACGAUACCUGAGUAAGAAGCCCCGGCUAACUACGUCCCAGCAGCCGCGGCAAUACGUCGGGGGCACGCGUUAUCCGGAUUUACUGGGUGUAAAGGGAGUGUAGUCGGCAGUGCAAGUCUGGAGUGAAAUGCGGGGGCUCAACCCCCGGACUGCUCUGGAAACUGUACGGCUAGAGUGCAGGAGGGGUAAGUGGAAUUCCUAGUGUAGCGGUGAAAUGCGUAGAUAUUAGGAGGAACACCAGUGGCGAAGGCGGCUUACUGGACUGUAACUGACGUUGAGGCUCGAAAGCGUGGGGAGCAAACAGGAUUAGAUACCCGAGUAGUC
This 440-nucleotide ribosomal RNA is filed under the name uncultured bacterium. Its description in RNAcentral is "partial 16S ribosomal RNA". It matches the Rfam family "Bacterial small subunit ribosomal RNA", at positions 338 to 795 of the family's 1533-position model. The record is from RNAcentral.